RNAcentral lists this unclassified non-coding RNA (325 nucleotides) under Hevea brasiliensis (rubber tree). Lineage: Eukaryota; Viridiplantae; Streptophyta; Magnoliopsida; Malpighiales; Euphorbiaceae. The record is from RNAcentral.
AUAAUAAUUAAAAAAAAACUAAAAUAAUAAUAAAAAAUAAGGUAUUUCCUUAACAGGCAAUGCGUGGAGAAGACCUUCCAUUCUCUCUCCCACUUAUAUACUUUAAUUUAUAUCGUGGAUCUAGUCCAAACAAGAAAGAAUAGAACUUUCCCUGCUGGGAAGAAUAUUCAUUCUGCAUUUUGAUUCGACUCUGUGAAAUGCAUUGGUUAAUUCAAAAAGGAAUAUUUUUGGACCCAAUGAAUUUUUACAGUUAAAAAAACACAAAAUAAAUAUAAAAACCACUAAGGUAAUUCAACUUCUAAUAUAUAUAUAUAUAUGAAAAAAA